This 253-nucleotide ribosomal RNA is filed under the name uncultured bacterium. RNAcentral describes it as "partial 16S ribosomal RNA". It matches the Rfam family "Bacterial small subunit ribosomal RNA", at positions 524 to 776 of the family's 1533-position model. The record is from RNAcentral.
UACGGAGGGGGCUAGCGUUGUUCGGAAUUACUGGGCGUAAAGGGCGCGUAGGCGGACCAUCAAGUCAGGGGUGAAAGGCCUGGGCUCAACCCGGGAACUGCCUUUGAAACUGAAGGUCUAGAGUCCGAGAGAGGAUAGCGGAAUUCCCAGUGUAGAGGUGAAAUUCGUAGAUAUUGGGAAGAACACCAGUGGCGAAGGCGGCUAUCUGGCUCGGAACUGACGCUGAGGCGCGAAAGCGUGGGGAGCAAACAGG